CGUUUAAACCGAGAACCGUUAAUAUCGUGAACAACGUUGUGUUAACUGUGGCAAAAAUUUGUUUCCUUGGGCUCCCUUUUGAAAAAUUUCACCCUUCGCCAUUGGUGCCUAUAGUAGUAAUGCAGUACAGACCUCCUUUCAAUAUUAUAAUUCUCUUUGGACCUACUCUUUGGUCGUUGCUAUAGAAACAAGCUUAAUUUGUCCUUUUUGUGUUGAGAAUAACGUAAUGUGUUUGAUUUAAAUUAUUAUUUUCAAAUCGAAAUAUGAACGAGCACAUAAGACGUAAAAAUCUAUCCACCACGUUACCUGCAAUUGAAACUCUUCAACGGAAUGUUCGAAAAGUGCCCAUCUAUUAUUCGAGGAAACCACGGGAAAUUCCUUUUCACGUGCCUCAUAAAAAGCUAUUACAAAAAAUAGAGUUCGUCAAGAGAGAGCCGGAACCAUUGACUGGGUUUACUACAGCUCAAGAAGAUCGACGCAUAAAAGAAAGAAAACCCGCCAAACUGCAACUUGAACCCAUAAAAUUAGAGGAAAGUCUUAGCACUGUUAAAGAAAAGAAAAAAAGAAACACUCAAAAUACGAGAAUCCCGAAGCAGUUUAGACAUAAACAAAGAAGAUGUGACAGCCGACCCCUUAAAAGUAAAACCUGUCGUAGCCUCGCAGGCCGAAGUAAUUGACUACGUGAAGAAUAAUCCCGCAUGCGGAUUUUUAUACAUGAUGUAUGCCGUCCACCCACAAAAUGUUUAUUUUACGCCGUAUUACCUCAAGGUUGUACCGUACGAAGAGAUCGACAGAAAGAAUUACCUUACAAUUAGCGCUUGUGGAGUUACACAUUAUACGAACGAAAUGGUAUUUACGAAAUUACCUGCUUGGGAACAAGAAUAUAAUAUUUUUGUCAAACUUACUGAUAUAAAAUUUUUCAAAGUAUAUAGAUAUUGGAAAGCAUUCUAUGUCUGGAGAAAAUCAAUAGUUUUCAGAAAAUAUAGUAAACUACGAUCUAAAUUGGCUAAGAAUUUAUUUAUCCUUACACCAGUAUUGGGAAAGGCGUUACUGAAUAUACAAGCUAUGUGCUGCGAAAUGUACAUGAAAAGUUUUGCGGAUUUGUCUAGAGAUAUGGAUACAGCAUUUUUCUACUUUAUAGAAGUUCUGAUGAAACGCGUGGAAUACAUAAGGGAUAAGCUAAAAGAAUUUCGAGAUGUGGCCUUGGAUAUUAUAACACAAACCUGCCAUACGGCGCUUUAUCAACAAGGUUUCGUGUUUGACGAUAGAAAUAUACCACCAUUUCAAAUGAUUAGGGGCAAACCUACGGGAGGGAUGUCUUACACUGAAAAAGCAAACAAAAGAAAAUAUUGUGAAAGACUGGCUUGUUUUAUAAAAUUAACUGAUUAUAUGACGAACUAUAUGUUGUACCGAUUAACAAAGCGAUCCAACAACAUGUUAGCUGAAAUGUUCCGCGUACACGUCAGCUUCACGCCAGAUCGGGAACUCUUGGAAGGCACCGCGGUCGAUGAAAUUCUCGAAGUCAUCCCAAGAGUUACUGAUACUUGUAAGUGGGCCCUAUUUCAAAUAGACGCUUUCGUUGAACCUAGUGGUGAGGUGAUACUAAAUCCAAGCGAAAAAGUAAUGUCAACGUAUGUCGAAAAAAUAACCAGCUACUGGGAUGAAUAUGUGCGAACUUUCCAUAAUUUUUUGAACGAACCGACUUUGGAAAUAUUUGUACAACCAACUGUGAUGGGCAAGCAAGUCGAAUGGUCUGCUGGCGUAUCCCCCAAUUUAUACUUCCUUAUGAACCAGGAUAAACAAAUGAUAGAAGAUAUUGCAUUUAUACCAAGUGCUAUUAAAAAUGGCUUCGAUAAUGUUUGGAUAUUCCUGAGACGUUUGCAAGGUUUUAUGGAUAGUUUCAAAGAAGCGAAUGAAUUGGACCUAAACAUUAUUAAAAAUGAAAGAGAUAUCAAUGAGUUUAGAAAACUAUGCGAGAAGCUAGUAAAGCAGAUGGAAUCUAUAGAGGAGGUCGUUUGCUAUCAGCCCCUGGGAAUACUAUUUUUAUGUCUCAGUCCUUUCCAAGAGUUAUUUAGACCACAGCCAAGAAGACUAUUUGAUGUUGUUCUUAAUGUUACUCCUGAUAUCGGUCGAGCAGCUAUUGAUGAAAUAUUGGAAGGUAUUGAUAAUAUAACUGAAGACAUUACCAAUGAGCCGGAGACGGCCGGUGAACUGGUUACAUUCAACUUCAUGAUGGAUGGACUAGAGUCACGCGUCGCCUUUCUUGAAGAGCGCUUGGAGUACCUUCGAGAACUUUAUGACCUUAUGGGAGAGUUCAACAUUCCUAUACCACCUGAUGAUAUGACUGAAUACCUGGGUUUAAGUGUGGCUUUAGGCACAUUACGAACUGAUGUUGAUGCACGGCUGGAAACUAGAAGUAAACUUGCUGGACUGUUUGCUAGUCAGAUUGGCAAAGACAUAAUGGAACUCAUGAUGGACGUUAAUAAGUUACGAGAUGAAGUCAUGCAACCCUGGCUUUAUGACGACAAAUCAGAUAUGGAAAAAGUUAUGGAGGCAUUAAGUGGAUUGAUGGAUAAACUCAUGGAAUGCUCGAGCAGAGAUAAACAGAUAAGAGAAUGGCAGAAAAUAUUUAAGAUACCACCUGCCAGGCUGGAACAGCUGGACGAAGCAAUAAACGACGUAAAGCUUAGACAAUUAUUAUGGACCUCAUCCAAAGAAUGGGAAGACAUGUUUAAAUCAUGGUAUGAAAAUCCAUUCAAUACUUUGGACAUUGAUGAAAUUCAGACAAUAACAAUAAACUUCGGCAAAGUCUUUAAUCAACUUGACAAAGGCCUACCACCAAACAAAAUUGUGCCGAAAUGUAAGGAAACAAUAGAUAUUAUCAAAGAGAAGUUACCCGUAAUGACAUAUUUGCGGAAUCCAGCAUUGAAACCGCGUCACUGGGUCAAAAUCGAAGAAAUCUUGCACACACGUUUCACACCUGAUAUCGUACUGACUCUGCGAGUAUUUGAAGAUUUACAUGCUUUUCAAUAUGCAGAGGAACUCAUGGAAGUUGCUGGACAGGCUAGUUCCGAAGCUGGCCUGGAAGCUUUACUCAAAAAGGUCGAGGAAAUAUGGGCGGCACUAGAAUUCCCAGUACUUUUGCAUAAAGAUGCUCGGGACGUUUACGUUCUCGGAGGCCUAGACGAGAUACAAGCGGCCCUCGACGAAAGUAAUAUACACGUGAGCACGAUCCUUAGCUCAAGAAGCUGUGGACCCAUUAAGGGGAGAGUUGAAGAGUGGGCCCGAAACUUAGAGUUAUUCGCUAAAACACUUGAAGAAUGGUAUGCAUGUCAGCAAACUUGGAUGUACCUGGAAGUUAUAUUUUCUGCCCCUGAUAUUCAGAGGCAGUUGCCAAACGAAACACGACUUUUCACCAUGGUUGAUAAGUCCUGGAAAGACAUCAUGCGUAAACUAGCCAAGGUACCUCUGGCAAUGCCUGCUGCAACACAACCAAAAUUGUAUGAAGAAUUUGUUCGUAACAACGAAAUGUUGGACCAGAUCAUGAAGUGCCUUGAAGCGUACCUAGAAACGAAACGAGUUGCAUUUCCAAGAUUCUUCUUUUUGUCCAAUGAUGAAUUGCUUGAAAUAUUGGCUCAGACUCGUAACCCACAUGCUGUGCAACCACAUCUACGUAAAUGUUUCGAUGCAAUAGCGAAGUUGGAAUUUGGAGUAAAACUACCUGAAAGUGAAAUGGAAAUAACGGAAGACGGUACAUUAGUGGAGAAAGAAAUGUCAUUUCAAACUAGAGAUAUGCUUCAAGCAAAACUCGCUAAAACCGCCAAACCAGAGGAUUUAACCACGGAUAUUAUAGCAAUGAUUUCACCAGAAAGCGAAAGAGUAAAUUUAGGAAAGGGUUUGAAAGCUCGAGGCAACGUUGAAGAUUGGCUCGGCAAGGUAGAAGAGGCAAUGUUCGCAUCUGUAAAGCGGUGCAUGAAGUUUGCUCUCAAAGAUUUCAUGGCACGUCCUCGGGUUGAAUGGGUAGAACUUCAUGCUAACCAGGUGGUCCUAACCGUAUCUCAAAUAAUGUGGGCUAAAGGUGUCCAUGAAGUUUUCGAUCUGGAAAUACCGUUACGUAUUGAUACGACUCUCCUCGAGUACGAAAAAAAAUGCAUUGUCGAUUUGAACGACCUCGCUGCGUUGACUCGCAAGGAUCUUACUUCAUUAUUUAGGAAGGUUUUGUGUGCGUUAAUUACGAUAGAUGUGCAUGCUAGAGAUACCAUAUCGCAAAUGGUAGACAAACAUGUGCAACGCGCUAAUGAUUUCGAAUGGCUUAAAAUGAUUCGAUACUACUGGGAAGAAGAUAUCGACAACUGUGUUGCUCGUAUGUCGAGUGCGUUAUAUAUUUACGGCCAUGAAUACUUGGGUGCUGGAGGCGUAUUGGUAAUAACUCCUCUGACUGAUCGGUGCUAUUUGUGCCUGAUGGGAGCUUUGCAGCUAGACUUGGGUGGGGCACCGGCUGGUCCCGCUGGUACUGGGAAAACUGAGACUACUAAGGAUUUAGCCAAAUCACUGGCUAUUCAGUGUGUCGUAUUCAAUUGUUCUGAAGGACUUGAUUACAAAAUGAUGGGGAGGUUCUUCUCGGGUCUAGCCACUUCAGGAGCGUGGUGCUGUUUCGAUGAGUUCAACCGAAUCGACAUCGAGGUGUUAUCAGUAAUUGCACAACAACUUAUCACAAUCAGAAAUGCAAAAGUAGCGAGACAGACGAGAUUCAUGUUUGAGGGUCGUGAAAUUAAACUCGUACGCACUUGUGCAGCGUUUAUUACUAUGAAUCCAGGUUACGCAGGCAGAACUGAGCUACCUGAUAACUUGAAAGCUUUAUUCCGUCCUAUAUCGAUGAUGGUACCGGAUUAUGCUCUAAUCGCGGAAGUAAUUCUGUAUUCAGAAGGAUUUGAAUCAUCGAAGAGUCUAUCCAAGAAAAUGGUUCAAAUGUACAAACUUUCUAGCGAACAGUUGUCCAAACAAGACCAUUACGAUUUUGGCAUGAGAGCAGUGAAAAGUGUCUUGGUCAUGGCCGGUGCUUUGAAGCGAGCUAGUCCCGAUCAACCUGAGGAAAUGACUCUCUUGUGUGCCCUCAAUGACAGCAACUUACCCAAAUUCCUGGCCGCAGAUGCGGUAUUAUUUGCGGGAAUUCUAUCAGACUUGUUUCCAGGUGUCAGCCUGCCGUUUAGAGACUACGGUGUCAUGGAGGACGUUAUAAAAAUAAUUCUGCUGGAGAGAAAACUGCAGGUAGAAAUAUGCCAAAUUCGCAAAGUAAUACAACUGCAUGAAACCAUGAUCGUGCGCUGGGGUGUCAUGUUGGUAGGACCUACCGGCGGCGGCAAGACUGUUGUGCUACACGUUCUAGGGGAUACGUACACGAGACUUAACGAGAACGGGGUCCCGGGAUCUCAGUACCAAUACGUGCACAAAUACAUAAUGAACCCAAAGAGUCUCACCAUAGGCGAACUGUAUGGCGAAGUGAACUUGCAAACUCUAGAAUGGCACGAUGGUAUACUUCCGCUUAGUCUUCGAACUGCUGUUCAGUGCGAGAAAACAGAUCACCAAUGGUUGAUUUGUGAUGGACCUGUGGACGCAGUGUGGAUUGAGAACAUGAACACGGUGCUUGACGACAACAAGAUGCUCUGUCUCUCCAACUCUGAACGCAUUAAACUGACACCCUACGUACACAUGGUUUUUGAGGUGGCAGAUUUAGCGCAAGCGUCUCCCGCUACUGUGUCCCGAUGUGGGAUGGUGUAUAUAGACCCAAACGAAAUGGGCUACCUGCCUUACGUGCGCUCGUGGCUAAACGAAGGCGUCGAAAAAAAUCUAUUCACGGCAGACAAUUCAGAAUUUCUAUACAUUCUGUUCCAAAUGCUCCAAGUGGGAGUGAAGCAUGUUAACACAAAAUGCAGUGUGGGAAUCAGACAGGUGGAUAUAAGCAAAGUAUCAGCUAUAUGUUUUUUAUUGGGGGCAUUACUAGCCGAGCCAGGUGAUCGGUUUGCAGACAAAGCUGCAAUAAAAGUGUAUAUCGCUCAUUGCUUCAUAUUCUGUUACGUGUGGUGUAUAGGCGGUAACAUACUGGAGAUAAAUCGAAAGGGGUACGAAGAAGUUAUUAAGAGGCAAUUUGAAGAGUUCGAAGAGGCAGAGUAUUUCCCACAGGGUUUCAACUUCUUUGACAUGUAUAUGGACACGCGGCAACGGAAACUAAAAGUGUGGGCUGAAAUAAUUCCCGAGUUUAUAUAUGAUUGCAAUAAACCGUUCUUUGAGACUUUGGUUCCUACUAUCGACACGGUGCGCUAUGGAUACUUGUUCGAAAAACUCCUUGGUGCUGGAAAGCCGGUUAUGUUUACCGGGAAUACAGGUGUUGGUAAAACUUGCAUAGCUGUUGAGAUCCUAAAUCGGAUGUCGACCACUGGGUACUAUAUACCGAUUAUUUUGAAUUUUUCGGCACAAACUAGUAGCACACGCACACAGGAAGUUAUAGAGUUACGAUUGGACAAAAGGCCUCGGAAAGCGAUUGGAGCUCCUCUAGGCAAAAAAGUUAUCAUAUUCAUAGACGACGUAAACAUGCCUCGACUUGACGUGUAUGGUGCUCAGCCCACUAUAGAAUUGCUAAGACAAUUUCUAGACUUCGGCGGUGUGUACGACCGUGACAAAUUAUAUUGGAAGGAAAUAUUAGACGUAGUUUUAUCGUGCGCUUGCGCACCACCUGGUGGUGGAAGAAAUCCAUUGACUGCCAGAUUCGUGAGGCAUUUUGCAAUGUUUUACAUAUCCGCACCAAAUGCUGAUGCUAUGAAAACUAUAUUCAAGGCAAUUCUUAAAGGUCAUAUGGAAGAUUUCGUAUCCGAAGUAUCGGUUUUAGGAGAACCGAUAGUAAAUGCGGCUGUAGAGGUGUACCUAAAAAUUUGCGCCGAGCUGCUACCGACUCCUGCGAAAUCGCAUUAUGUGUUCAACUUACGAGAUCUGUCCAAGUCGAUGCAAGGUGUACUCCAAGCGGAUGCUGCUUACAUGCGGGCGCCACAAGGAAUGCUUCGUUUGUUCUACCACGAAUGUCUUCGCGUCUUCCACGAUCGAUUGAUAAACAUUGAAGAUAAAAGUUAUUUCUAUCAUUUGAUGGCUUCAGUUUGUGAAAAAUAUUUUCACAAUCCGAUUUUGGAUGUCCCGGAAGACCCGAUAAUCGAACGCCCACCUCUUCUUCUCUUUGGUGAUUUCUUAAAUUCGGCUGUUCCGAAGGAAAACAGAAAUUACCAAGAAAUAUCCGAUAUGGCAAGACUAAUGGUGGUUCUAAAGGAAUACUUGGAGGAAUACAACUCGACGGCCCGUGCGGAGAUGCAUCUAGUUCUGUUUCAAGACGCGGUAGAGCACGUCGUGCGCGUAGCGAGGGUAUUCCGAGCGGAGCGUGGACAUUGUCUGAUGGUGGGUCCGGGCGGAUCUGGACGGCGGAGUGUCGCAACGCUCGCCGGACAUGUUAACGAGUGCAAAUGCAUGGGAAUGGAGUUGAAACGGAACUACGACACGCCAGAGUUCCACGACGACCUGCGCAAGAUGUACAUGCGCGCCGGCGUCAACAACGACGAUACCGUUUUCCUGUUCACCGACACCCAGAUCACUAAGGAGGAGUUCCUGGAGGACAUUAAUAAUAUGCUUAAUUCCGGUGAAGUGCCGAACUUGUUUGAAGGCGAUACUUACGAACAGGUGCAGACUGGGUGCCGGAACGACGCCGCUAAGUUUGGCAUCAAUCCAGCGGACCGUGACUCUGUCUAUUAUUUCUUUAUCAACCGCGUGAGAGGCAAACUUCAUUUGUGUAUUUGUAUGAGCCCCGUGGGAGAGGCUUUCAGACGUCGUUGCCGCAUGUUUCCGUCAUUAGUGAACUGCUGUACAAUCGACUGGUUCACUAAAUGGCCGCCUGAAGCGUUGCUUUCCGUGGCCCAGCAGUGCCUGCAGCCGCUUGGCAACCAGGAGAUAAUCGAAAAGAUCUCGCCGCUGUGCGUCAUAAUGCACCAGGACGUAGAUUUAAUGACUGAUCGUCUGUAUCAGGAAAUGAGACGUUACUUCUAUACAACUCCAAGCAGUUAUUUAGAUUUACUAAAAUUGUACCUUGCUCUGCUUGAUAAAAAACAACAGCAAAUAAUACGUGGCCGAGAUAGAAUUUCAUGUGGAUUACAGAAAUUGUACGAAACUUAUGAGGUUGUCGGAGUGAUGGAGCAACAGGUACGUGAAAUGGAACCCAUCCUGGCUCGCAAAGCUGAGGAAGGUAUUGCACUAGUUGAUAGACUUAAAGUCGAACAGAAGGCGGCUGAUGAAGUGAAGCAAGCUGUCAUGAAAGACGAAGCUGAAGCAAAGAUUAAAGCAGAAGAAGUGAAGGAAAUAGCGGACGAGGCGAAAGCGGACCUCGCCUUGGCCAUGCCCGCGAUGGAAGCCGCUCAGAACGCACUCAAAGCUCUCAAUAAAGCUGACAUCAAUGAAUUAAAAGCUUUUCAGAAGCCGCCCGCCCUCGUGCGCUUCGUAAUGGAACCUGUGUGCAUUUUAAUGGGCGUUAAGCCUGAUUGGGACUCGACAAAGAAAUUACUAGCUGAUGUUAACUUUAUUGGCAAACUAGAAGACUAUGAUAAAGACCACAUACCUGACGCUACUCUGAAAAAAAUAAAAGUUUAUUUAACUCAUAAGGAUUUUAAUCCAGACACUGUCGUGAAAGUAUCGAAGGUAUGUCGCUCCAUGGUUCUGUGGGUGCAAGCUAUCGACAUGUAUGCGAAGGUGUUUCGAGUCGUGGAACCUAAGAUAUUAAAGCACAAAGAAGCCGCUGCUAUAUUGAAAAGCGUAAUGGCGGUUUUGAGGGCAAAACAGAAAGAAGUUGAAGCAAUUGAGGCACAAUUAGAGAAAAUGAUGGACGAAUUAAGGGUAGUAGAAGAGGAACGUCAGAAAUUACAGGCUGAUGUCGAUUUGGCUGCGGCGAGACUCUCCCGAGCUGGAAAACUAACUCAGGCUUUAGCAGAUGAGAAAACGCGAUGGGAAGACAGUGUCAAAUCCGCCACUAAACAGCUGCACUGCACAACGGGUGACAUAAUAGUAGCAUCUGGUUGUAUCGCGUAUUUCGGCGCGUUCCCCUCACACUACCGACGAGAGCUUGAGUUGCGAUGGAUCGAACAGUGCGCUGCUUUGGAAAUACCCUCAUCGGAUUCUUUUGAUCUUAUAUCAAUAAUGGCGGAUUCGUACACGGUGCGUACAUGGAACUCUCAAGGUCUGCCGCGCGAUGCUAUCUCCACGGAGAAUGGUAUACUGGUGACUAGAGCGGGAAGAUGGCCGCUUACCAUUGAUCCUCAAGAACAGGCCAAUAGAUGGAUAAAGAACAUGGAACGAGAGAAUGGUUUGCAAAUAACGAAACUGAAUGAUCCCUCGUACAUUCGUAUGUUGGAAAAUUGUAUACGACUCGGUUGGCCGAUGCUCAUUGAGGAUUUAGGAGAAUCAUUGGAAGCCACUCUGUCGCCGGUACUACUCAAACAGACCUUCGUUCAGGCCGGGCGUCUGUUGAUACAUUUAGGGGACAGCGACAUCGAAUACGACACGAACUUCCGUCUGUACCUCACCACGAAACUCGCGAACCCGCACUACCUGCCCGAAAUCUGCAUACAAGUGACGCUAGUCAAUUUCACCGUCACUCUGUCCGGGCUCGAGGACCAACUUUUAGCAGACGUGGUAAGAUUAGAGAGGCCAGAUUUGGAAAUACUCCGCACUCAACUGAUAGUGCGCAUUAACACCGACAAAGCUACUCUACUAGAGAUUGAAGACAAAAUCUUACGGCUACUGUAUGCUUCGACUGGAAAUAUUCUGGACGAUGAAGAGCUUAUAGAGACUCUCAAUGAGAGUAAGGAAACGUCUGAAAUAAUAAAUGCUCGACUCGAAGAAACAGAAGCGACAGAGAUCAGCAUAUCGGCAGCGCGGGAGAAGUAUCGCACGGUCGCGACCCGCGGCGCGGUGCUAUACUUCGCGGUGGCGCAGUUGGCAGACAUAGAUCCCAUGUACCAGUUCUCGUUAAAGUAUUUCAAUCAGGUGUUUAAUGCUGUAAUCGAAAAGAGCGAGAAAUGCGACAUACUAGAAACACGAUUGGAUAUUUUACAUCGAGAAAUAACGUUAUCGGUGUACCGCAAUGUAUCCCGGGGAUUGUUCGAGAGGCACAAGCUGGUGUUCAGCUUUCUGCUCAAUAUGGCCAUUUACCUGAAUGCAGGUUUAAUCACACCCGAUCAGUGGAAUUUCAUACUGCGUGGAGCAGCCGGGACCAAAGUCGUACCCGUUAAAAAGCCAUUAGUUGAAUCAUUGACAGACCAAAUGUGGCUCACCAUCAAUCAUCUGCAGGAGACCGAUUCCAGUUUCACAGGAAUAUUAGACGAUUGUCUCAAAAAGAUUCCAAUUUCUAUAGGAUCAUUUAGUGUGGAUAUUCAUAUAAACUUGAACGACAAAAGUGCGCCGAAAAUAAACUGGGACGAAAAAUUGACUUCGUUCGAAAAGUUGAUGAUAAUUAAGGCUCUGAAAGAGGAAAAAUUGGUAUUUGCAAUCGCUCAGUACGUGAGCAUCAGCCUGGGCUCCGUCUUCAUAGAGAGCCCGACGGUUCAGCUGAAUACACUGUAUGCUGAUACGACAUCGAUAAUUCCGCUGGUGUUUGUGCUAAGUACUGGCUCGGAUCCGUUCGGUGCGUUCCAGAAGUUUGCCACAGAGAUGGGUAUGCGCGAUCGCGUGCAUUCCAUAUCGCUUGGGCAGGGCCAAGGACCAGUGGCGGAGAAAAUGAUAAACAAUGCAAAACCCUUAGGAGAUUGGAUAUUUUUACAGAAUUGUCACUUAGCUGCCUCAUGGAUGUUGAGCCUGGAACAAAUUGUAGCUAACCUGGGAAGUGACACUGGCACUCCGCACCCUGACUUCCGCCUGUAUCUGAGUUCAAUGCCCACACCAAAAUUCCCAGUAUCAGUGCUGCAGAACUCUGUGAAAGUCACCAACGAACCGCCUAAAGGAUUAAAAGCAAACGUCAAGAGAGCUUUAGUAGAGAUGGAAGAGGAUUUCUUUGAGAAUCACGUGCUCGGUCAGGAUUGGAGGACUAUGCUGUUUGGGAUAUGCAUGUUCCACGCAAUAAUACAGGAGCGCAAAAAGUUCGGUCCGCUCGGGUGGAACAUCACGUACGAAUUCAACAACAGCGACCGCGAGUGCGCCAUGCUCAACCUGCAGAUGUUCUGCGAGGACGGGCACAUACCCUGGGAUGCGCUCGAGUACAUCACCAGUCAAAUUACAUACGGAGGUCGUGUUACCGAUAUGUGGGAUCAGCGUUGCUUGACAACAAUCCUGAAACUUUUUUUCUCCCCUCCGAUUUUGGAAGAUGACUACAAAUACUCGCUAUCAGGGACAUACUACUGUCCUAGAGCGGAUAAACUGGAAGACUUCCGAGAAUAUAUAGAAACAUUGCCUGUUAUUGAGGAUCCUGAAGUGUUUGGAAUGCACGAUAACGCUAAUAUAGCGUUUGAGUUGACGUGCAACCGCGUGCUAGCGGCGGGGGUGGCGGAGAUACGCCCGAUCAGAUCGUGUGGCGGAUUUGCGACCAGACCCGCGCCUCGAUCUCGACCAAGAUCGACAGUACGCUAGUGAACCCAGACCUCAUGGUGCCAGACGACAUGGGGCAGCUCCACUCGCUGACUACAGUGCUUCUGCAUGAAACAGAUAGAUUUAAUACGUUACUUGCACUUAUACAUUCAUCGCUUAAUGAAUUACAGAAGGCUAUUAAGGGAGUGGUAGUUAUGUCGGAAGCGUUUGAAGAGGUAUUUAACUCUUUUUUAAAUAACAAGGUACCAGCCCUAUGGCACAAAAAGGGGUAUAAUUCCUUAAAGUCGCUUGGCAGUUGGAUCCAUGAUCUCAUACUUA
RNAcentral lists this unclassified non-coding RNA (11919 nucleotides) under Manduca sexta (tobacco hornworm). RNAcentral describes it as "dynein heavy chain 6, axonemal, transcript variant X3". The record is from RNAcentral. Lineage: Eukaryota; Metazoa; Arthropoda; Insecta; Lepidoptera; Sphingidae.